Molecule: long non-coding RNA, 12190 nt
Organism: Brassica rapa (field mustard)
Lineage: Eukaryota; Viridiplantae; Streptophyta; Magnoliopsida; Brassicales; Brassicaceae
Source: RefSeq, a predicted model, not a curated record
UAAAGCAAAAAUAAGAAAAGAAAAAAGGUGAAGAGAACGCACGAUCUUUAACAAUUGAAUCCAAUCCAGUAAUCUCUUCCAACGGUUCUUCUUGCCCACACUCCACGAUCACCAUUCAUAUCAGUUUCUUAUAACUACGUUCAUUCCAUCAUUUAUACUUCUGCAAUGUCUUUCUGUGAUCUCUCUUUACUCAAAUCCACGCAACAUUUCUUCUCUGAGAUAAAUUGGUAUUUGGUAUAUCAUCUCAUAUUGUUUUUUGUUGCCCAGUUUUUCGGGAUCUCACUUUUCUCUCUACUUUUUCCAUGACAGCAUUUGUACAGGGAGCUUCGCUAAGAUGCAAAGUUUAUCUUAGAAGAACUCAGGUUUGAAUAUUUUUUCUUCCCAAAUAUGUAAAUCUGAGACAGAGGAAAUGCAAUAAAACGUUUUUAUGUAAGUGUAUACCUCUGCUUCCAAUAAAAACAAGAGAGAAUAAGAACAAAGUAUUGUUGGGUCAGUCUACAAUCCAGCAAAAGAAAAGCCAAAACAAAUGAAGGAGUUUUCUCUGCAACAAACGGAAUACAAGAACAGAACCACCAAUAAUCUGAAAACAAGUGGUAUUUUUAAUUUUCUCUGAUUCUCUUUCUUAUGUGUUUUUUUGAAAAUCUCUAUUUUAUUUUUGUAACCUUUACAUACAUGAAGAAAUUCCAUCGGCUACUAAUAUUAAUGUGAUGCAGCUUUCAGAAGAUGGAAAUGCAACAAAAACCUAACAUUACAUGGGAAAACAGUAUCAACAAUUUCGAUGAUGCAACAAGGUAUUUACAAAUUUUAAGUUAAAAAAAAAACAAGGUAUUUACAAAUAUGUGUGUUAUGGUCUGAGUGCUUCACAAAUCUUUUUUUAAAAUUAUAAUACAGAAAAUCCAAUAUAUUAUAUACAAAUUGAAUAUUCUAACUAUAUGGAUUCUAUUAUGUUUAGUUUCGUUGUUUUUAUUAUUCAUUAUAUCAAAUCUAAGGAGGACUAUUUUAAAGAAGAAUUAUUUACAAAAGAAAUAAGAGUUCAAAAAAUAAACGAAUAGAUCAAACGUAAUAUUUUAACUACAUUUCUGCAUGUAUGUACCUUAAUUUUCAAACUCUUUGUUUGAUUAAUGCAGCCACUGCUAAAUGGAGUACUGAGGUAAUAAUAAGUAUAUAGGACUCCCAUUAUAUAAUCACUCUCUUACUCUUUUCCAUUAUACAAAUCUAUUUUUUCUUCUUUUUUUGACAAAUGUUUUUUUUCUUCUUCCCAAUAGCUUAUCCUUAGGAAACAAAUGAACAAAAUAUUUGGCUGAGUGCGUAUAUUUAAGACAUCAGACCUUAAUACUGGUUGGGAACGUAAAUAUUUUUAACACUUUUCUUUCGGUUAACAAUGGAAUCUUCCAAUGUAUUUUUUUGAGUUUUUUCAGCAAGAAGUGUAUUGGUUUAUAACAGUCAAAUGAUAGGCUAGGUCAUCUUACCACCGAGGAACCUGAAAUUGGCAUAUUGGCGCUGACUGAAUGAUCAAAUGCUAUUUAUUCUAUUCCUUUUAUUUGAACUGAUGAGUUGAUUAUAAAUGUAUUUGAAACCAGUUAUUUGUUGUCUCUUAUUUAUUACAUUUUACUCAAAACAUAUUAAAUUAUAUGUAAUUAUUGAUUUGUUUUUCUAAUAAAAUAAUAUUUGAUUUUGUUUUGCAAUAUGCGUAAAAGAAUUAGUCAACCCGCGCUAUUGCGCGGGUAAAUAUCUAGUUUUAUAUAAAUCAUAAGGGGGUUAUUGGAAUCCCUUAUAUACUAAAGCACAAGUCACUUGGCUAAUUAGAUUUUGACACAUGGAUCCUAUUUUAUUUUUUAAAGAUUACAAAUUAUGUAUAAAAUAAUUAAAGCAAAAAUAAGAAAAGAAAAAAGGUGAAGAGAACGCACGAUCUUUAACAAUUGAAUCCAAUCCAGUAAUCUCUUCCAACGGUUCUUCUUGCCCACACUCCACGAUCACCAUUCAUAUCAGUUUCUUAUAACUACGUUCAUUCCAUCAUUUAUACUUCUGCAAUGUCUUUCUGUGAUCUCUCUUUACUCAAAUCCACGCAACAUUUCUUCUCUGAGAUAAAUUGGUAUUUGGUAUAUCAUCUCAUAUUGUUUUUUGUUGCCCAGUUUUUCGGGAUCUCACUUUUCUCUCUACUUUUUCCAUGACAGCAUUUGUACAGGGAGCUUCGCUAAGAUGCAAAGUUUAUCUUAGAAGAACUCAGGUUUGAAUCUUUUUUCUUCCCAAAUAUGUAAAUCUGAGACAGAGGAAAUGCAAUAAAACGUUUUUAUGUAAGUGUAUACCUCUGCUUCCAAUAAAAACAAGAGAGAAUAAGAACAAAGUAUUGUUGGGUCAGUCUACAAUCCAGCAAAAGAAAAGCCAAAACAAAUGAAGGAGUUUUCUCUGCAACAAACGGAAUACAAGAACAGGACCACCAAUAAUCUGAAAACAAGUGGUAUUUUUAAUUUUCUCUGAUUCUCUUUCUUAUGUGUUUUUUUGAAAAUCUCUAUUUUAUUUUUGUAACCUUUACAUACAUGAAGAAAUUCCAUCGGCUACUAAUAUUAAUGUGAUGCAGCUUUCAGAAGAUGGAAAUGCAACAAAAACCUAACAUUACAUGGGAAAACAGUAUCAACAACUUCGAUGAUGCAACAAGGUAUUUACAAAUUUUAAGUUAAAAAAAAAAACAAGGUAUUUACAAAUAUGUGUGUUAUGGUCUGAGUGCUUCACAAAUCUUUUUUUAAAAUUAUAAUACAGAAAAUCCAAUAUAUUAUAUACAAAUUGAAUAUUCUAACUAUAUGGAUUCUAUUAUGUUUAGUUUCGUUGUUUUUAUUAUUCAUUAUAUCAAAUCUAAGGAGGACUAUUUUAAAGAAGAAUUAUUUACAAAAGAAAUAAGAGUUCAAAAAAUAAACGAAUAGAUCAAACGUAAUAUUUUAACUACAUUUCUGCAUGUAUGUACCUUAAUUUUCAAACUCUUUGUUUGAUUAAUGCAGCCACUGCUAAAUGGAGUACUGAGGUAAUAAUAAGUAUAUAGGACUCCCAUUAUAUAAUCACUCUCUUACUCUUUUCCAUUAUACAAAUCUAUUUUUUCUUCUUUUUUUGACAAAUGUUUUUUUUCUUCUUCCCAAUAGCUUAUCCUUAGGAAACAAAUGAACAAAAUAUUUGGCUGAGUGCGUAUAUUUAAGACAUCAGACCUUAAUACUGGUUGGGAACGUAAAUAUUUUUAACACUUUUCUUUCGGUUAACAAUGGAAUCUUCCAAUGUAUUUUUUUGAGUUUUUUCAGCAAGAAGUGUAUUGGUUUAUAACAGUCAAAUGAUAGGCUAGGUCAUCUUACCACCGAGGAACCUGAAAUUGGCAUAUUGGCGCUGACUGAAUGAUCAAAUGCUAUUUAUUCUAUUCCUUUUAUUUGAACUGAUGAGUUGAUUAUAAAUGUAUUUGAAACCAGUUAUUUGUUGUCUCUUAUUUAUUACAUUUACUCAAAACAUAUUAAAUUAUAUGUAAUUAUUGAUUUGUUUUUCUAAUAAAAUAAUAUUUGAUUUUGUUUUGCAAUAUGCGUAAAAGAAUUAGUCAACCCGCGCUAUUGCGCGGGCAAAUAUCUAGUUUUAUAUAAAUCAUAAGGGGGUUAUUGGAAUCAGAAUUUGGAAGGGAUUUAGUGAUUUUAAAAGUUGACAGACUUUUAGAAAGUUAAAUAGAGUUAACAAAUAUUUUUUAAAUUUCUAUCAAAUAUUUGAUAUAGAUUUCUAUUGAUUAUUAUGGAUAGAUGCAAUAGGAAAUGGAAAGUCAACAAUGAUGGUGAGACAUAAUUUUUAUUGGUUAUUGUUCUUUGUGUUAUGUGAUGGUGUAUUCAUUUAUCUGGGAAACAUGAUACCAAUAACAUAACACGAGAUUGAUGGUGUGUUUCUUUGUGUUAUUGUAUGGUGUACUCAUUUCUCUGGGAAAUCUGAUACUAAUAACAUAACACAACGACGAUGGUGUGUUCUUUGUGUUAUGGUGAGGCAGACUUUUUAUCAGUUUUGUUGCUCGGUAUCAUUCAAAACUUGUGUGUUUACGUUAGUUUUGUUAUUAUAAACAUUUUUCUCUUCGUUUUGCUAUUAUUGUCUGUUUUUUUUUUGUUAUAAUAAUGAUGAUCAUGAAUGGCGUGUUCACGUUAGUUUUGAAAGAACAUUCUAGUUUUUGAGUUUGUAUGUAUAUGUUUUUACUACAUUGAUUUCAAGAAUCUUUUGAGUAUAUGUGAUAUUUUCAAAGUUUAGUAUUAUGAGUAAGAAUAUAAAAAAAUUUAACUUCCAAUAACAAUAGAAUUUAAUAGAAUUACAAAAUCAAUAAUAACUAAACUUUUUGAAUAAUAAUAAAUUUGAAUGAAAUUUAAAAAUAACAAUGGAUUUUGGUAAGAUUAUAUAAACCCUUAAACCAAUAACAAUAGAUUUUCAAAAUUUUACAAGUAGAUUAUAUACUAAAGCACAAGUCACUUGGCUAAUUAGAUUUUGACACAUGGAUCCUAUUUUAUUUUUUAAAGAUUACAAAUUAUGUAUAAAAUAAUUAAAGCAAAAAUAAGAAAAGAAAAAAGGUGAAGAGAACGCACGAUCUUUAACAAUUGAAUCCAAUCCAGUAAUCUCUUCCAACGGUUCUUCUUGCCCACACUCCACGAUCACCAUUCAUAUCAGUUUCUUAUAACUACGUUCAUUCCAUCAUUUAUACUUCUGCAAUGUCUUUCUGUGAUCUCUCUUUACUCAAAUCCACGCAACAUUUCUUCUCUGAGAUAAAUUGGUAUUUGGUAUAUCAUCUCAUAUUGUUUUUUGUUGCCCAGUUUUUCGGGAUCUCACUUUUCUCUCUACUUUUUCCAUGACAGCAUUUGUACAGGGAGCUUCGCUAAGAUGCAAAGUUUAUCUUAGAAGAACUCAGGUUUGAAUCUUUUUUCUUCCCAAAUAUGUAAAUCUGAGACAGAGGAAAUGCAAUAAAACGUUUUUAUGUAAGUGUAUACCUCUGCUUCCAAUAAAAACAAGAGAGAAUAAGAACAAAGUAUUGUUGGGUCAGUCUACAAUCCAGCAAAAGAAAAGCCAAAACAAAUGAAGGAGUUUUCUCUGCAACAAACGGAAUACAAGAACAGAACCACCAAUAAUCUGAAAACAAGUGGUAUUUUUAAUUUUCUCUGAUUCUCUUUCUUAUGUGUUUUUUUGAAAAUCUCUAUUUUAUUUUUGUAACCUUUACAUACAUGAAGAAAUUCCAUCGGCUACUAAUAUUAAUGUGAUGCAGCUUUCAGAAGAUGGAAAUGCAACAAAAACCUAACAUUACAUGGGAAAACAGUAUCAACAACUUCGAUGAUGCAACAAGGUAUUUACAAAUUUUAAGUUAAAAAAAAAAACAAGGUAUUUACAAAUAUGUGUGUUAUGGUCUGAGUGCUUCACAAAUCUUUUUUUAAAAUUAUAAUACAGAAAAUCCAAUAUAUUAUAUACAAAUUGAAUAUUCUAACUAUAUGGAUUCUAUUAUGUUUAGUUUCGUUGUUUUUAUUAUUCAUUAUAUCAAAUCUAAGGAGGACUAUUUUAAAGAAGAAUUAUUUACAAAAGAAAUAAGAGUUCAAAAAAUAAACGAAUAGAUCAAACGUAAUAUUUUAACUACAUUUCUGCAUGUAUGUACCUUAAUUUUCAAACUCUUUGUUUGAUUAAUGCAGCCACUGCUAAAUGGAGUACUGAGGUAAUAAUAAGUAUAUAGGACUCCCAUUAUAUAAUCACUCUCUUACUCUUUUCCAUUAUACAAAUCUAUUUUUUCUUCUUUUUUUGACAAAUGUUUUUUUUCUUCUUCCCAAUAGCUUAUCCUUAGGAAACAAAUGAACAAAAUAUUUGGCUGAGUGCGUAUAUUUAAGACAUCAGACCUUAAUACUGGUUGGGAACGUAAAUAUUUUUAACACUUUUCUUUCGGUUAACAAUGGAAUCUUCCAAUGUAUUUUUUUGAGUUUUUUCAGCAAGAAGUGUAUUGGUUUAUAACAGUCAAAUGAUAGGCUAGGUCAUCUUACCACCGAGGAACCUGAAAUUGGCAUAUUGGCGCUGACUGAAUGAUCAAAUGCUAUUUAUUCUAUUCCUUUUAUUUGAACUGAUGAGUUGAUUAUAAAUGUAUUUGAAACCAGUUAUUUGUUGUCUCUUAUUUAUUACAUUUUACUCAAAACAUAUUAAAUUAUAUGUAAUUAUUGAUUUGUUUUUCUAAUAAAAUAAUAUUUGAUUUUGUUUUGCAAUAUGCGUAAAAGAAUUAGUCAACCCGCGCUAUUGCGCGGGUAAAUAUCUAGUUUUAUAUAAAUCAUAAGGGGGUUAUUGGAAUCCCUUAUAUACUAAAGCACAAGUCACUUGGCUAAUUAGAUUUUGACACAUGGAUCCUAUUUUAUUUUUUAAAGAUUACAAAUUAUGUAUAAAAUAAUUAAAGCAAAAAUAAGAAAAGAAAAAAGGUGAAGAGAACGCACGAUCUUUAACAAUUGAAUCCAAUCCAGUAAUCUCUUCCAACGGUUCUUCUUGCCCACACUCCACGAUCACCAUUCAUAUCAGUUUCUUAUAACUACGUUCAUUCCAUCAUUUAUACUUCUGCAAUGUCUUUCUGUGAUCUCUCUUUACUCAAAUCCACGCAACAUUUCUUCUCUGAGAUAAAUUGGUAUUUGGUAUAUCAUCUCAUAUUGUUUUUUGUUGCCCAGUUUUUCGGGAUCUCACUUUUCUCUCUACUUUUUCCAUGACAGCAUUUGUACAGGGAGCUUCGCUAAGAUGCAAAGUUUAUCUUAGAAGAACUCAGGUUUGAAUCUUUUUUCUUCCCAAAUAUGUAAAUCUGAGACAGAGGAAAUGCAAUAAAACGUUUUUAUGUAAGUGUAUACCUCUGCUUCCAAUAAAAACAAGAGAGAAUAAGAACAAAGUAUUGUUGGGUCAGUCUACAAUCCAGCAAAAGAAAAGCCAAAACAAAUGAAGGAGUUUUCUCUGCAACAAACGGAAUACAAGAACAGAACCACCAAUAAUCUGAAAACAAGUGCUUUCAGAAGAUGGAAAUGCAACAAAAACCUAACAUUACAUGGGAAAACAGUAUCAACAACUUCGAUGAUGCAACAAGGUAUUUACAAAUUUUAAGUUAAAAAAAAAAACAAGGUAUUUACAAAUAUGUGUGUUAUGGUCUGAGUGCUUCACAAAUCUUUUUUUAAAAUUAUAAUACAGAAAAUCCAAUAUAUUAUAUACAAAUUGAAUAUUCUAACUAUAUGGAUUCUAUUAUGUUUAGUUUCGUUGUUUUUAUUAUUCAUUAUAUCAAAUCUAAGGAGGACUAUUUUAAAGAAGAAUUAUUUACAAAAGAAAUAAGAGUUCAAAAAAUAAACGAAUAGAUCAAACGUAAUAUUUUAACUACAUUUCUGCAUGUAUGUACCUUAAUUUUCAAACUCUUUGUUUGAUUAAUGCAGCCACUGCUAAAUGGAGUACUGAGGUAAUAAUAAGUAUAUAGGACUCCCAUUAUAUAAUCACUCUCUUACUCUUUUCCAUUAUACAAAUCUAUUUUUUCUUCUUUUUUUGACAAAUGUUUUUUUUCUUCUUCCCAAUAGCUUAUCCUUAGGAAACAAAUGAACAAAAUAUUUGGCUGAGUGCGUAUAUUUAAGACAUCAGACCUUAAUACUGGUUGGGAACGUAAAUAUUUUUAACACUUAUCUUUCGGUUAACAAUGGAAUCUUCCAAUGUAUUUUUUGAGUUUUUUCAGCAAGAAGUGUAUUGGUUUAUAACAGUCAAAUGAUAGGCUAGGUCAUCUUACCACCGAGGAACCUGAAAUUGGCAUAUUGGCGCUGACUGAAUGAUCAAAUGCUAUUUAUUCUAUUCCUUUUAUUUGAACUGAUGAGUUGAUUAUAAAUGUAUUUGAAACCAGUUAUUUGUUGUCUCUUAUUUAUUACAUUUUACUCAAAACAUAUUAAAUUAUAUGUAAUUAUUGAUUUGUUUUUCUAAUAAAAUAAUAUUUGAUUUUGUUUUGCAAUAUGCGUAAAAGAAUUAGUCAACCCGCGCUAUUGCGCGGGUAAAUAUCUAGUUUUAUAUAAAUCAUAAGGGGGUUAUUGGAAUCCCUUAUAUACUAAAGCACAAGUCACUUGGCUAAUUAGAUUUUGACACAUGGAUCCUAUUUUAUUUUUUAAAGAUUACAAAUUAUGUAUAAAAUAAUUAAAGCAAAAAUAAGAAAAGAAAAAAGGUGAAGAGAACGCACGAUCUUUAACAAUUGAAUCCAAUCCAGUAAUCUCUUCCAACGGUUCUUCUUGCCCACACUCCACGAUCACCAUUCAUAUCAGUUUCUUAUAACUACGUUCAUUCCAUCAUUUAUACUUCUGCAAUGUCUUUCUGUGAUCUCUCUUUACUCAAAUCCACGCAACAUUUCUUCUCUGAGAUAAAUUGGUAUUUGGUAUAUCAUCUCAUAUUGUUUUUUGUUGCCCAGUUUUUCGGGAUCUCACUUUUCUCUCUACUUUUUCCAUGACAGCAUUUGUACAGGGAGCUUCGCUAAGAUGCAAAGUUUAUCUUAGAAGAACUCAGGUUUGAAUCUUUUUUCUUCCCAAAUAUGUAAAUCUGAGACAGAGGAAAUGCAAUAAAACGUUUUUAUGUAAGUGUAUACCUCUGCUUCCAAUAAAAACAAGAGAGAAUAAGAACAAAGUAUUGUUGGGUCAGUCUACAAUCCAGCAAAAGAAAAGCCAAAACAAAUGAAGGAGUUUUCUCUGCAACAAACGGAAUACAAGAACAGAACCACCAAUAAUCUGAAAACAAGUGCUUUCAGAAGAUGGAAAUGCAACAAAAACCUAACAUUACAUGGGAAAACAGUAUCAACAACUUCGAUGAUGUAACAAGCCACUGCUAAAUGGAGUACUGAGGUAAUAAUAAGUAUAUAGGACUCCCAUUAUAUAAUCACUCUCUUACUCUUUUCCAUUAUACAAAUCUAUUUUUUCUUCUUUUUUUGACAAAUGUUUUUUUUCUUCUUCCCAAUAGCUUAUCCUUAGGAAACAAAUGAACAAAAUAUUUGGCUGAGUGCGUAUAUUUAAGACAUCAGACCUUAAUACUGGUUGGGAACGUAAAUAUUUUUAACACUUUUCUUUCGGUUAACAAUGGAAUCUUCCAAUGUAUUUUUUUGAGUUUUUUCAGCAAGAAGUGUAUUGGUUUAUAACAGUCAAAUGAUAGGCUAGGUCAUCUUACCACCGAAGAACCUGAAAUUGGCAUAUUGGCGCUGACUGAAUGAUCAAAUGCUAUUUAUUCUAUUCCUUUUAUUUGAACUGAUGAGUUGAUUAUAAAUGUAUUUGAAACCAGUUAUUUGUUGUCUCUUAUUUAUUACAUUUUACUCAAAACAUAUUAAAUUAUAUGUAAUUAUUGAUUUGUUUUUCUAAUAAAAUAAUAUUUGAUUUUGUUUUGCAAUAUGCGUAAAAGAAUUAGUCAACCCGCGCUAUUGCGCGGGCAAAUAUCUAGUUUUAUAUAAAUCAUAAGGGGGUUAUUGGAAUCAGAAUUUGGAAGGGAUUUAGUGAUUUUAAAAGUUGACAGACUUUUAGAAAGUUAAAUAGAGUUAACAAAUAUUUUUUAAAUUUCUAUCAAAUAUUUGAUAUAGAUUUCUAUUGAUUAUUAUGGAUAGAUGCAAUAGGAAAUGGAAAGUCAACAAUGAUGGUGAGACAUAAUUUUUAUUGGUUAUUGUUCUUUGUGUUAUGUGAUGGUGUAUUCAUUUAUCUGGGAAACAUGAUACCAAUAACAUAACACGAGAUUGAUGGUGUGUUUCUUUGUGUUAUUGUAUGGUGUACUCAUUUCUCUGGGAAAUCUGAUACUAAUAACAUAACACAACGACGAUGGUGUGUUCUUUGUGUUAUGGUGAGGCAGACUUUUUAUCAGUUUUGUUGCUCGGUAUCAUUCAAAACUUGUGUGUUUACGUUAGUUUUGUUAUUAUAAACAUUUUUCUCUUCAGUUUUGCUAUUAUUGUCUGUUUUUUUUUUGUUAUAAUAAUGAUGAUCAUGAAUGGCGUGUUCACGUUAGUUUUGAAAGAACAUUCUAGUUUUUGAGUUUGUAUGUAUAUGUUUUUACUACAUUGAUUUCAAGAAUCUUUUGAGUAUAUGUGAUAUUUUCAAAGUUUAGUAUUAUGAGUAAGAAUAUAAAAAAAUUUAACUUCCAAUAACAAUAGAAUUUAAUAGAAUUACAAAAUCAAUAAUAACUAAACUUUUUGAAUAAUAAUAAAUUUGAAUGAAAUUUAAAAAUAACAAUGGAUUUUGGUAAGAUUAUAUAAACCCUUAAACCAAUAACAAUAGAUUUUCAAAAUUUUACAAUUCCUUUAGAAUUCUUAAAUCAAUAACCCCCAUCCCCCCAAGACUAAAGACGUCUUAAGGUUUGUAUAUGAAUAUAGAUGACUUAAGAUGAUGAAAAACUUGAUGAAAAUAUUCUUACAGUUAUUGUUAAAUAGUUUUGAAUUCGCAACUGGAUCCACAAAAUCAUAUUUCAUAUGAACUUGUCUUAUAAGACUCUUAGAGGAGACACAGGAAAAAGAUCAUAAGGUGAGCGAGAUAGAAGGCUUGUGAGACUAUGAGAAUCUUAAAAUAUCUCUGGAGAUAAGAAUUAAACAUGAUGAAGUAUGUGAGACAAUAUUUGAUGGCUUGGAACUGGAUGGACCGAGGGAACGGUUGUAUCACCACAACUCCAUACGCAAUUCGAUGUCGUAUGUGCCCACCAUUACCCUAGUAAGUUUAAGUUAUUGUUUAUUGUUAUGUCGGUCAGUUUUAUUAGCUAUUGAUCAUUAUUAAUUCUUUAAUUUGUUUCUUUCAGGACCUCUGGCAACCGUUUUGGAGGAUCAAUCUGUGGAUAUCAAAAUAAAAAGACUAAUGAUCAAAUAGCGUAGAAAUUAGAAAGUGUUUAGCUCCUAAAAAGAAACACUCCUCAUAUAAGGAGAUGGAGGUUACGAAAAAUCUAUCAAGAAACUAGUUAAUGUUGGUCACAUUACCAUAUUAAUCUACGACAAAAUGUCAAGAUCAAAACAACUCCUCAAAUUUGAAAACAGAAGAGUUUAGAAAUUCUUUAAUGUUGAUAUUUUUAUAUAGAUUAUUAUUAUCACAUUCAAAUAAUUAAACAAAUGAUAUAUCCCCAUUUGUGAGGUUUGUAAUUCUUUAAUGUUGAUAUUUUCAAAUAGAAUGUUCUAAAUAAUUGUUUUUAAUUUUUUUGUAGUUAGAAGAAGGAAAAAUUAUGCAUAUUUAGUGCAGUUGAUGAGUACUUUGCAAUCGUGAGAACUAGAAAGUAAAUGUACCAAUUGGUAUGUAAUUGACUCACUUUUCUGAGGUAGGUAAUAUUAGUUUAUGAUCUUUUCAGAUGCACUAAUUUCUUAUAGCUUGAAAUUUUUUAUGUUUAAUUGCUAAGUGAUAUCUUGGUUAUUUUCAAAAUAGGUUUUCAAAGUUUUGAUUUUUUUCAUUUUCCACCCAAUCUUCUUAAUUUGCAGAGAUAACUUUUGAUUUCACCUCAAACUUUCAAUUAUGCAAUCUAAACCCUGUUUUAUGAAAUUAUGUAUAUGCAAAUGCAAUAUAUAUACCUAAUAUGCAAUCGAGAUGACCAAAAUGAAUUAAAAUAAGAUUUUAAAACUCAUCAAAAUCAUAACAUAUCACUAAACACUUGACUGAUCAUAGUUUAUUGAGUCUCCGUACAUCUAUGAAUCAAUAUUCUCUUUUGAUAAAAAGGUAAAAUUUACAUUCACAAAUAAUAGAUUUCAUUAGUUUUGUCAUCAACAAAUACAGAUUCAUACUAACUCUGUAAAUAUCAAUUAAUUAAUCAAUUAUAGACUGAAAUUUCAGAUUAAAUAAAAAUACAUAAUUAAUUAAAUUAAAAUUCAUAGAAAUUUUGUUGCCACCCUUUCAUGGGCUUUUAUUCCACAGCUAUACACACAUCUGCUAACCAAAUCUUGGAAAUGAUUUCAUAACUGACAGUACAUAAAUUGCUUUCAGUCUGGAAUCAGUCAUUGAGAUUGGAGGAGAUAUAUCUGGGAUCAGGCAGAUGUUCAAGUGGUUAUGCUGGUUGUCCAGAAAAUCAGCUUCGAAAAAGUUUGUACUCCCUGUAUAAUUGUUGGACUAAUCUCAGACCAAAAAACAUCAAGUCCCCUGUUUGGACAAAUAGAAAAAAAACAGUUUGUUUGAUCUAUUCUAUCAUUGGUUUGUUAAAUCUUGGUUCAUAGUUUUCAGUAACAAUUGUCUGAAAACCCUGAAAACCUAUG